CACGGGGGGAGCAAGCGUUGUUCGGAAUCACUGGGCGUAAAGGGCGUCUAGGCGGUCGGAUAAGUGGGAUGUGAAAUGCCCCGGCUCACCCGGGGACCGGCAUCCCAAACUGUCUGGCUUGAGUAUGGGAGAGGAUGUGGGAAUUCCUGGUGUAGCGGUGAAAUGCGUAGAUAUCAGGAGGAACACCGGUGGCGAAGGCGCACAUCUGGCCCAAUACUGACGCUAAAGCGCGAAAGCUAGGGGAGCAAACGGG
RNAcentral lists this ribosomal RNA (253 nucleotides) under uncultured bacterium. RNAcentral's name for it is "partial 16S ribosomal RNA". It matches the Rfam family "Bacterial small subunit ribosomal RNA", at positions 524 to 776 of the family's 1533-position model. The record is from RNAcentral.